CCUACGGGUGGCAGCAGUGAGGAAUAUUGGUCAAUGGACGAGAGUCUGAACCCGCCAAUUCGCGUGAAGGAUGACUGCCCUAUGGGUUGUAAACUUCUUUUAUAUGGGAAUAAAAUGUUCCACGUGUGGGAUUUUGUAUGUACCAUAUGAAUAAGGAUCGGCUAACUCCUUGCCCGCAGCCGCGGUAAUACGGAGGAUACGAGCGUUAUCCGGAUUUAUUGGGUUUAAAGGGAGCGUAGGUGGAUUGUUAAGUCCGUUGUGAAAGUUUGCGGCUCAACCGUCAAAUUGCAGUUGAAACUGGCAGUCUGGAGUACAGUAGAGGUAGGCGGAAUUCGUGGUGUAGCGGUGAAAUGCUUAGAUAUCACGAAGAACUCCGAUUGCGAAGGCAGUUCACUGGACUGCAACUGACACUGAGGCUCGAAAGUGUGGGUAUCAAACAGGAUUAGAUACCCCAGUAGUC
RNAcentral lists this ribosomal RNA (460 nucleotides) under uncultured bacterium. RNAcentral describes it as "partial 16S ribosomal RNA". It matches the Rfam family "Bacterial small subunit ribosomal RNA", at positions 338 to 795 of the family's 1533-position model. The record is from RNAcentral.